GAUGAACGCUGGCGGCGUGCCUAAUACAUGCAAGUCGAGCGAACAGAUGAGGAGCUUGCUCCUCGGACGUUAGCGGCGGACGGGUGAGUAACACGUGGAUAACCUACCUAUAAUACUGGGAUAUCUUCGGGAAACCGGAGCUAAUACCGGAUAAUAUAUUGAACCACAUUGUUCAUUAGUGAAAGACGGCUUUGCUGUCUCUUUUAGAUGGAUCCGCGCCGCAUUAGCUAGUUGGUCAGGUAACGGCUUACCAAGGCAACGAUGCGUGGCCGACCGGAGAGGGGGGUAGGCCACACGGGAACUGAGACACGGACCAGACGCCUACGAGAGGCAGCAGUCGGGAAUCUUACGCAAUGGGCGAAAGUCUGACGGAGCAACGCCGAGUGAGUGAUAAAGGUCUUCGGAUCGUAAAACUCUGUUAUUAGGGAAGAACAAAUGUGUAAGUAACUAUGCACGUAUUGACGGUACCUAAUAAGAAAGCCACGGCUAACUACGUG
RNAcentral lists this ribosomal RNA (497 nucleotides) under uncultured bacterium. Its description in RNAcentral is "partial 16S ribosomal RNA". It matches the Rfam family "Bacterial small subunit ribosomal RNA", at positions 28 to 507 of the family's 1533-position model. The record is from RNAcentral.